GUGGGGAAUAUUGGACAAUGGGCGCAAGCCUGAUCCAGCCAUGCCGCGUGAAUGAUGAAGGCCUUAGGGUUGUAAAGUUCUUUCGCCAGGGACGAUAAUGACGGUACCUGGAUAAGAAGCCCCGGCUAACUUCGUGGCAGCAGCCGCGGUAAUACGAAGGGGGCUAGCGUUGUUCGGAUUUACUGGGCGUAAAGCGCACGUAGGCGGAUCUUUAAGUCAGGGGUGAAAUCCCGAGGCUCAACCUCGGAACUGCCCUUGAUACUGGAGAUCUUGAGUUCGGGAGAGGUGAGUGGAACUGCGAGUGUAGAGGUGAAAUUCGUAGAUAUUCGCAAGAACACCAGUGGCGAAGGCGGCUCACUGGCCCGAUACUGACGCUGAGGUGCGAAAGCGUGGGGAGCAAACAGGAUUAGAUACCCGUGUAGUCC
Molecule: ribosomal RNA, 425 nt
Filed under: uncultured bacterium
Lineage: Bacteria
Description: partial 16S ribosomal RNA
Rfam family: Bacterial small subunit ribosomal RNA
Source: RNAcentral